GACGAACGCUGGCGGCGUGCUUAACACAUGCAAGUCGUACGAGAAAAAGGUAGCAAUACCUUGAGUAAAGUGGCGCACGGGUGCGUAACACGUAAGCAACCUGCCUUUAGGUUUGGAAUAAUCCCGCGAAAGCGGGACUAAUACUGGAUGAUGCAGCGGAUCCGCAUGGAUAUGUUGUUAAAGUCUAUAUGGCGCCUAAAGAUGGGCUUGCGUCCGAUUAGCUAGUUGGUAAGGUAACGGCUUACCAAGGCAACGAUCGGUAGCUGGUCUGAGAGGAUGAUCAGCCACACUGGAACUGAGACACGGUCCAGACUCCUACGGGAGGCAGCAGUGAGGAAUAUUGGGCAAUGCCCGAAAGGGCGACCCAGCAACGCCGCGUGGAGGAUGAAUGCCGUAAUGUUGUAAACUCCUGUUAGAGGGGAAGAACAAUUCCGAUCGACUCGGAACUUGACUGUACCCUCAGAGAAAGCCCCGGCUAACUACGUGCCAGCAGCCGAC
RNAcentral lists this ribosomal RNA (498 nucleotides) under uncultured bacterium. RNAcentral's name for it is "bacterial SSU rRNA". It matches the Rfam family "Bacterial small subunit ribosomal RNA", at positions 28 to 518 of the family's 1533-position model. The record is from RNAcentral.